RNAcentral lists this unclassified non-coding RNA (323 nucleotides) under Legionella maceachernii. Its description in RNAcentral is "Long range pseudoknot". The record is from RNAcentral. Lineage: Bacteria; Pseudomonadati; Pseudomonadota; Gammaproteobacteria; Legionellales; Legionellaceae.
ACGGAAGAUGGAGAUUAUCAGGUCAAGCUACGCAACCUGAUCCGUUUCCUAAAUCAUGGCGACAAGGUGAAAAUCACUCUGCGGUUUCGCGGUAGAGAGAUGGCUCAUCAGGAAAUUGGUAUGAAAAUCAUGGAGCGCUUGCAGCGCGAUACUGCCGAACACGCAGUUAUUGAACAGCAUGCAAAACGUGAAGGUCGUCAAUUGUUGAUGGUUUUAGCGCCGAAGAAAAAGCAAUAGUAGUUGUUGAAUAUCUUGAUUUGAUGGAUUCAUUCUGAUCCACAAAUGGAUUGAAAGCGCUACAUCAUAAUUAGCAGUAAUGUGAA